UAGGGAAUCUUCGGCAAUGGGGGGAACCCUGACCGAGCAACGCCGCGUGAGUGAAGAAGGUUUUCGGAUCGUAAAGCUCUGUUGUUAAGGAAGAACGAGUGUGAGAAUGGAAAGUUCAUACUGUGACGGUACUUAACCAGAAAGCCACGGCUAACUACGUGCCAGCAGCCGCGGUAAUACGUAGGUGGCAAGCGUUGUCCGGAUUUAUUGGGCGUAAAGCGAGCGCAGGCGGUCAAUUAAGUCUGAUGUGAAAGCCCCCGGCUCAACCGGGGAGGGUCAUUGGAAACUGUUUAACUUGAGUGCAGAAGGGGAGAGUGGAAUUCCAUGUGUAGAGGUGAAAUGCGUAGAUAUAUGGAGGAACACCGGUGGCGAAAGCGGCUCUCUGGUCUGUAACUGACGCUGAGGCUCGAAAGCGUGGGGAGCGAACAGG
This 430-nucleotide ribosomal RNA is filed under the name Bacteroidota bacterium. RNAcentral's name for it is "Bacteroidetes bacterium partial 16S ribosomal RNA". It matches the Rfam family "Bacterial small subunit ribosomal RNA", at positions 355 to 776 of the family's 1533-position model. Lineage: Bacteria; Pseudomonadati; Bacteroidota. The record is from RNAcentral.